GGGUAUGUGGAAUCCUGGAGCUUUCUUAGUGGGUAUACUGCAUAUACCUGCGUCUCACGAAGACUACACAACUGUUGGUGCCAAAAGUGCUGUUU
This is a long non-coding RNA of Etheostoma cragini (Arkansas darter), 95 nucleotides long. RefSeq lists it as uncharacterized. The transcript has 3 exons. The record is from RefSeq and is a predicted model, not a curated record. NCBI's taxonomy places the organism in Eukaryota, Metazoa, Chordata, Actinopteri, Perciformes, Percidae.